CCCCGUACACAAAAAUGCACAUGCUGUGAGCUCGAUGAGUAGGGCGGGACACGUGGUAUCCUGUCUGAAUAUGGGGGGACCAUCCUCCAAGGCUAAAUACUCCUGACUGACCGAUAGUGAACCAGUACCGUGAGGGAAAGGCGAAAAGAACCCCGGCGAGGGGAGUGAAAAAGAACCUGAAACCGUGUACGUACAAGCAGUGGGAGCCUCUUUAUGGGGUGACUGCGUACCUUUUGUAUAAUGGGUCAGCGACUUAUAUUCUGUAGCAAGGUUAACCGAAUAGGGGAGCCGAAGGGAAACCGAGUCUUAACUGGGCGUUAAGUUGCAGGGUAUAGACCCGAAACCCGGUGAUCUAGCCAUGGGCAGGUUGAAGGUUGGGUAACACUAACUGGAGGACCGAACCGACUAAUGUUGAAAAAUUAGCGGAUGACUUGUGGCUGGGGGUGAAAGGCCAAUCAAACCGGGAGAUAGCUGGUUCUCCCCGAAAGCUAUUUAGGUAGCGCCUCGUGAAUUCAUCUCCGGGGGUAGAGCACUGUUUCGGCAAGGGGGUCAUCCCGACUUACCAACCCGAUGCAAACUGCGAAUACCGGAGAAUGUUAUCACGGGAGACACACGGCGGGUGCUAACGUCCGUCGUGAAGAGGGAAACAACCCAGACCGCCAGCUAAGGUCCCAAAGUCAUGGUUAAGUGGGAAACGAUGUGGGAAGGCCCAGACAGCCAGGAUGUUGGCUUAGAAGCAGCCAUCAUUUAAAGAAAGCGUAAUAGCUCACUGGUCGAGUCGGCCUGCGCGGAAGAUGUAACGGGGCUAAACCAUGCACCGAAGCUGCGGCAGCGACGCUUAUGCGUUGUUGGGUAGGGGAGCGUUCUGUAAGCCUGCGAAGGUGUGCUGUGAGGCAUGCUGGAGGUAUCAGAAGUGCGAAUGCUGACAUAAGUAACGAUAAAGCGGGUGAAAAGCCCGCUCGCCGGAAGACCAAGGGUUCCUGUCCAACGUUAAUCGGGGCAGGGUGAGUCGACCCCUAAGGCGAGGCCGAAAGGCGUAGUCGAUGGGAAACAGGUUAAUAUUCCUGUACUUGGUGUUACUGCGAAGGGGGGACGGAGAAGGCUAUGUUGGCCGGGCGACGGUUGUCCCGGUUUAAGCGUGUAGGCUGGUUUUCCAGGCAAAUCCGGAAAAUCAAGGCUGAGGCGUGAUGACGAGGCACUACGGUGCUGAAGCAACAAAUGCCCUGCUUCCAGGAAAAGCCUCUAAGCAUCAGGUAACAUCAAAUCGUACCCCAAACCGACACAGGUGGUCAGGUAGAGAAUACCAAGGCGCUUGAGAGAACUCGGGUGAAGGAACUAGGCAAAAUGGUGCCGUAACUUCGGGAGAAGGCACGCUGAUAUGUAGGUGAAGCGACUUGCUCGUGGAGCUGAAAUCAGUCGAAGAUACCAGCUGGCUGCAACUGUUUAUUAAAAACACAGCACUGUGCAAACACGAAAGUGGACGUAUACGGUGUGACGCCUGCCCGGUGCCGGAAGGUUAAUUGAUGGGGUUAGCGCAAGCGAAGCUCUUGAUCGAAGCCCCGGUAAACGGCGGCCGUAACUAUAACGGUCCUAAGGUAGCGAAAUUCCUUGUCGGGUAAGUUCCGACCUGCACGAAUGGCGUAAUGAUGGCCAGGCUGUCUCCACCCGAGACUCAGUGAAAUUGAACUCGCUGUGAAGAUGCAGUGUACCCGCGGCAAGACGGAAAGACCCCGUGAACCUUUACUAUAGCUUGACACUGAACAUUGAGCCUUGAUGUGUAGGAUAGGUGGGAGGCUUUGAAGUGUGGACGCCAGUCUGCAUGGAGCCGACCUUGAAAUACCACCCUUUAAUGUUUGAUGUUCUAACGUUGGCCCCUGAUCGGGGUUGCGGACAGUGUCUGGUGGGUAGUUUGACUGGGGCGGUCUCCUCCUAAAGAGUAACGGAGGAGCACGAAGGUUGGCUAAUCCUGGUCGGACAUCAGGAGGUUAGUGCAAUGGCAUAAGCCAGCUUGACUGCGAGCGUGACGGCGCGAGCAGGUGCGAAAGCAGGUCAUAGUGAUCCGGUGGUUCUGAAUGGAAGGGCCAUCGCUCAACGGAUAAAAGGUACUCCGGGGAUAACAGGCUGAUACCGCCCAAGAGUUCAUAUCGACGGCGGUGUUUGGCACCUCGAUGUCGGCUCAUCACAUCCUGGGGCUGAAGUAGGUCCCAAGGGUAUGGCUGUUCGCCAUUUAAAGUGGUACGCGAGCUGGGUUUAGAACGUCGUGAGACAGUUCGGUCCCUAUCUGCCGUGGGCGCUGGAGAACUGAGGGGGGCUGCUCCUAGUACGAGAGGACCGGAGUGGACGCAUCACUGGUGUUCGGGUUGUCAUGCCAAUGGCACUGCCCGGUAGCUAAAUGCGGAAGAGAUAAGUGCUGAAAGCAUCUAAGCACGAAACUUGCCCCGAGAUGAGUUCUCCCUGACUCCCUGAGAGUCCUGAAGGAACGUUGAAGACGACGACGUUGAUAGGCCGGGUGUGUAAGCGCAGCGAUGCGUUGAGCUAACCGGUACUAAUGAACCGUGAGGCUUAACCUU
This 2570-nucleotide ribosomal RNA is filed under the name Escherichia coli KTE134. RNAcentral's name for it is "bacterial LSU rRNA". It matches the Rfam family "Bacterial large subunit ribosomal RNA", at positions 371 to 2925 of the family's 2925-position model. Lineage: Bacteria; Pseudomonadati; Pseudomonadota; Gammaproteobacteria; Enterobacterales; Enterobacteriaceae. The record is from RNAcentral.